Molecule: ribosomal RNA, 401 nt
Filed under: uncultured bacterium
Lineage: Bacteria
Description: bacterial SSU rRNA
Rfam family: Bacterial small subunit ribosomal RNA
Source: RNAcentral
GGAAUAUUGGGCAAUGAGGCAACUCUGACCCAGCAACGCCGCGUGAAGGAUGAAGGUCUUCGGAUUGUAAACUUUUGUUGUAGAGGACGAAGAAAGUGACUGUACUCUACGAGGAAGCCCCGGCUAACUAUGUGCCAGCAGCCGCGGUAAUACAUAGGGGGCAAGCGUUGUCCGGAAUCACUGGGCGUAAAGGGAGCGUAGGCGGAUAUUUAAGUUAAGUGUGAAAGCCUGGGGCUUAACUCCAGAAAUGCACUUAAUACUGGAUAUCUAGAGUGUGGGAGAGGUAAGUGGAAUUCCUAGUGUAGCGGUAGAAUGCGUAGAGAUUAGGAGGAACACCAGAGGCGAAGGCGGCUUACUGGACCACAACUGACGCUGAGGCUCGAAAGCGUGGGGAGCAAACA